GACGAACGCUGGCGGCGUGCUUAACACAUGCAAGUCGAACGGAAAGGCCCUGCUUUUGUGGGGUGCCCGAGUGGCGAACGGGUGAGUAACACGUGAGUAACCUGCCCUAGACUUUGGGAUAACUUAAGGAAACUGGGGCUACGCCCGGAUCGGAGCCCCUGCUGCAUGGUGGGGGUUGGAAAGUUUCGGCGGGUGGGGAUGGACUCGCGGCUUAUCAGCUUGUUGGUGGGGUAGUGGCUUACCAAGGCUUUGACGGGUAGCCGGCCUGUGAGGGUGACCGGCCACAUUGGGACUGAGAUACGGCCCAGACUCCUACGGGAGGCAGCAGUGGGGAAUAUUGCACAAUGGGCGGAAGCCUGAUGCAGCAACGCCGCGUGCGGGAUGACGGCCUUCGGGUUGUAAACCGCUUUCGCCUGUGACGAAGCGUGAGUGACGGUAAUGGGUAAAGAAGCACCGGCUAACUACGUG
Molecule: ribosomal RNA, 468 nt
Filed under: uncultured bacterium
Lineage: Bacteria
Description: partial 16S ribosomal RNA
Rfam family: Bacterial small subunit ribosomal RNA
Source: RNAcentral